Molecule: ribosomal RNA, 430 nt
Filed under: uncultured bacterium
Lineage: Bacteria
Description: bacterial SSU rRNA
Rfam family: Bacterial small subunit ribosomal RNA
Source: RNAcentral
UGGGGAAUCUUGCGCAAUGGACGAAAGCCUGACCCAGCGACGCCGCGUGGGCGAUGAAGGCCUUCGGGUUGUAAAGCCCUUUCGUGUGGAAAGAACAUCCUCAUGACGAAUAAUCGUGAGGUUUGACGGUACCACAAGAAGAAGCACCGGCUAACUCCGUGCCAGCAGCCGCGGUAAUACGGAGGGUGCAAGCGUUGUUCGGAAUUAUUGGGCGUAAAGGGCGCGUAGGCGGUUGUGUAAGUCAGAUGUGAAAUCCUUCGGCUUAACUGAAGAACUGCAUUUGAUACUGCAUAACUAGAGUACUGGAGAGGGAAAUGGAAUUCCCGGUGUAGAGGUGAAAUUCGUAGAUAUCGGGAGGAACACCAGUGGCGAAGGCGAUUUCCUGGCCAGAUACUGACGCUGAGGCGCGAAAGCGUGGGGAGCAAACAGG